CCUACGGGAGGCAGCAGUGAGGAAUAUUGGUCAAUGGGCGGGAGCCUGAACCAGCCAAGCCGCGUGAGGGAAGAAGGUACAGCGUAUCGUAAACCUCUUUUGUCAGGGAACAAAGGCGUGGACUAGUCCCCUGAUGAGGGUACCUGAUGAAAAAGCAUCGGCUAACUCCGUGCCAGCAGCCGCGGUAAUACGGAGGAUGCGAGCGUUAUCCGGAUUUAUUGGGUUGAAAGGGUGCGCAGGGGGCCUGUUAAGUCAGCGGUAAAAGCCCGGGGCUCAACCGCGGAGAGCCGUUGAAACUGGCAGGCUGGAGUUGGAUAGAGGUACGCGGAAUGCGGGGUGUAGCGGUGAAAUGCUUAGAUAUCGCGAAGAACCCCGAUUGCGAAGGCAGCGUACUGGCUCCAAACUGACGCUGAGGCACGAAAGCGUGGGUAUCGAACAGGAUUAGAUACCCGAGUAGUC
Molecule: ribosomal RNA, 459 nt
Filed under: uncultured bacterium
Lineage: Bacteria
Description: partial 16S ribosomal RNA
Rfam family: Bacterial small subunit ribosomal RNA
Source: RNAcentral